This is a long non-coding RNA of Daphnia pulex (common water flea), 736 nucleotides long. RefSeq lists it as uncharacterized. The record is from RefSeq and is a predicted model, not a curated record. NCBI's taxonomy places the organism in Eukaryota, Metazoa, Arthropoda, Branchiopoda, Diplostraca, Daphniidae. The transcript has 2 exons.
UAGUUUCCCAUCUCUGAGUGUCAAUGCCCGGCAGAAAUCGUCGAUCAAGUUUGCGACCGUUGAUCAAGUUCCCGCAAUCAUCAAGUGUACAACGUAUCAUCGAGUUACUGCGAUCGCGGGUCCUGUGAAUCAAGUGUUUCUGCCGGGACAUUUGGCUUGCCAUAUAGGAAAACAGUCUAAGAUGGUUGCUAAUGCUCGAAUCAAAUAAGUCAUGAAAAGUGUUCCAGUGGGCGUUAAUUCACGCUGCUCUUUCGGCUUAGCGCAGCAAAGAGUUGUUUCUCCCAGAAUUUGCUGUUGAUCAUCCAAAAAUAUUUUGUUACCAGCGUGAACCAACCUUUCAAUACACACAAGAUCUGCCCCACAUGACGAAGACGUAGAGCCAAUGCGGAGGCGUCCGGCUCCCCAAAUCUGCACAGAUAGUCGAUCGUUUAGAGCAGGACCAGCACCAACAUGGGGAUCCACGUCAGCGAGAACCAAGAAGGACACCAACACCAGAAAAAUCAUCCAUUCGUGUGUCGAAAAAUCAUCCGCAUUCCUUCAAUAAAUAAAAUUAAAAAACCGAAAAAUCCUAAACGAUUGAAUGUUGAAAUUGAAAAUAUUGACAAGAUCAACUUUAUUGCAAACAAAUUUAAACAGGGGAUUCUGGAGAUGCUGACUUAUUUCAAUCAAAUCUCCAGCUGAAAACUGUAUGACUGAUUUAAAAUACAAAAUGCAAUAAUUCUUGAAAAAACAAACA